AUCCAAACUAUGGGCUGACAUUAAGAGGU
Molecule: non-coding RNA, 29 nt
Filed under: Rattus norvegicus (Norway rat)
Lineage: Eukaryota; Metazoa; Chordata; Mammalia; Rodentia; Muridae
Source: RNAcentral